CGGCAGAGGGGGCGGGGUUUACCGAGCGGCGGAGGCGGGGCUUAUCGAGAGGCGGAGACGGGGCUAAUACCUCCCGAAGCCCCUGCUGUACAGGAAGAGGGAAAGAUGCUUCCCCAUCAGCCAACUGCAUCCACUGGAAAGAGGUAAGUGUGUGUGUGUGACUGUUUGCCUGUUUGUGUGACUGUCUGUCUGUGUGUGUGUGUGUGACUGUCUGUCCUUGUGUGUGUGUGUGUGUGUGACUGUCUGUCUCUGUGUGUGUGUGUGACUGUCUCUGUGUGUGACUGCCUGCCUGUGUGUGACUGUCUGUGUGUGUGACUGUCUGUCUGUGUGACUGCCCAUGUAUGUGACUGCCUGUGUGUGUGACUGUCUGUCUGUGUGACUGCCCGUGUGUGUGAGACUGCCUGUGUGUGUGAGACUGUCUGUCUGUGUGACUGUCUGUGUGUGUGACUGUCUGUCUGUG
Molecule: non-coding RNA, 460 nt
Organism: Pelobates cultripes (western spadefoot toad)
Lineage: Eukaryota; Metazoa; Chordata; Amphibia; Anura; Pelobatidae
Source: the annotation of a GenBank genome assembly